This 466-nucleotide ribosomal RNA is filed under the name Vreelandella stevensii. RNAcentral describes it as "partial 16S ribosomal RNA". It matches the Rfam family "Bacterial small subunit ribosomal RNA", at positions 338 to 795 of the family's 1533-position model. The record is from RNAcentral. Lineage: Bacteria; Pseudomonadati; Pseudomonadota; Gammaproteobacteria; Oceanospirillales; Halomonadaceae.
CCUACGGGUGGCAGCAGUGGGGAAUAUUGGACAAUGGGCGAAAGCCUGAUCCAGCCAUGCCGCGUGUGUGAAGAAGGCCUUCGGGUUGUAAAGCACUUUCAGUGGGGAAGAAAGCCUUGGGGCUAAUACCCUCGAGGAAGGACAUCACCCACAGAAGAAGCACCGGCUAACUCCGUGCCAGCAGCCGCGGUAAUACGGAGGGUGCGAGGCGUUAAUCGGAAUUACUGGGCGUAAAGCGCGCGUAGGCGGUCUGAUAAGCCGGUUGUGAAAGCCCCGGGCUCAACCUGGGAACGGCAUCCGGAACUGUCAGGCUAGAGUGCAGGAGAGGAAGGUAGAAUUCCCGGUGUAGCGGUGAAAUGCGUAGAGAUCGGGAGGAAUACCAGUGGCGAAGGCGGCCUUCUGGACUGACACUGACGCUGAGGUGCGAAAGCGUGGGUAGCAAACAGGAUUAGAUACCCGAGUAGUC